UUAACUAAAAUUUGUAUGUAGUUGGAAUUUUUGCCUACGUUUGCCGCUAGGGGCGCUGUUUCAACUACAUACUUUUAGUUA
This 81-nucleotide microRNA precursor is filed under the name Bombyx mori (domestic silkworm). Its description in RNAcentral is "mir-2807 microRNA precursor family". It matches the Rfam family "mir-2807 microRNA precursor family". Lineage: Eukaryota; Metazoa; Arthropoda; Insecta; Lepidoptera; Bombycidae. The record is from Rfam by way of RNAcentral.